Molecule: non-coding RNA, 107 nt
Organism: Acanthosepion pharaonis
Lineage: Eukaryota; Metazoa; Mollusca; Cephalopoda; Sepiida; Sepiidae
Source: the annotation of a GenBank genome assembly
CAUAUCACAUCUAAACACCAGUUCCUCUCUGAUUACCAAAGUUAAGCAAUGCUAAGCCUGGUCAGUACUUAGAUAGGUGACUGCUUGGGAAUACCAGAUGUUGUAAG